ACUUGUUUGUAUACAACCACGCCCGGCAGGAUGACCACCAGAUGACCGGCCGCAGCAAUGCCUCCACUCAGUCCCAGUUGGGCAAAGUUUCACUCCACUGCGGCGACGUGAACAAGAAUCACGGCUUCCUUAUCAAUAUUUCCAAUCCAUGGUUGGGUGCGGAACCUGCGGAUACAGAGGACUGACUAUAAUAUCAAGGAGGCUCGUGUGGUCCCUGUUUGUCAUCCAGUCAAUACGGCCAUCAGCUUCUGGCCCCAGACACCUUUCCUCUGCACUGUGGCACAGAGGAGCAGACUGCUUUGGAGGGCAGCUUCCUGGGAGCUCCAGGGACCCUGGCCAGGCGGCCACUGCCACUGACUUCCUCGGCUCACUGAGCCCGUGCCUGCAGCUCUCGUGUUUCCUCUGUGCUGCAGUGGACGCUUAUCUUCCCCCGAUGGCACAUUUCUUUGUCACAGACAGGACCCUCACUGGCAGUCGGAGGACAUCAAGCCCUAGUACAGGAAGGGACAUUUUCACACUAAUCUGUGCCAGCUGGAGCAGUCCUGCCAUCUGAACAUCAUAUUUUGGAACCCUGAGAAGCUAGGAUGCAGUUAACAGAUGUCAAUUCCCUGCAGGCAGAGACCAGUUCUCUGCUGCCAUGUCUUUAAGGCCUGAUGCACCAUAGAUUAAUUCAAAUCCAGUGUCUACCACUCACUCGGCUUAAUGUAAGACAAGAUGAAGACUCCAGACUUCAGAACUUCAGUGUCCAGGGAAGGGGCUGAAAUACCAGACUGCGAUGUACCAUCUCUUGGUUGCUAUGACUGAGGCCAUUAAAAUGGCAGGCAUUAAAAGACUGCACCUCAGUACCCAGCUACAAAGCCUCAAGGUCACUGCAUUCCACAGCUUCCCGUCGCCUUUCAUUCCUGGCCUCAGAGCUUCAAUAUCCUGGCGAGAUCCCCUCGCAUUAUAUUUCAUGAGGCUUAAAUGCAAGCUCUCCCACAGCAAGCCCGAGAGUAUAAUGGGGGUUUUAAUACAUUCCUUUUACCUAAGGCUGGGAUCCAUUUCAAAAAGUUACCCAAUAGGUUUCCUUUCAGGUGAGCUCAUUGCUCUGACAUUCCAAAAUGACAUUAAAAAAUAAAUCCUCUGAUGACUAUAUUAAUACAGUACCUGGGACACUGAGAGUUAUGCCGGAAAACGUCUUAGAUGUCUAUAAAUAAAUCUUAGAAAAAAAACCCAGCAGGAGGAAUGUGAGGAGCUAAUGGAAUUCAAAAGGCCUCAUUGCUACCCCCUUAGAGUUGAAAUCCACUCCGGGCCGACUGUCGCAGCAGAUAUAAAAAGCCAGCCACAGGCUGAAGCUGUAUUAGAAAAUACUGAGGCAAUAGAAUAUUAAUCUUUUUCUCCAAAGAAAAGCCACGGACUAUGCUCCUUGGAAGAUGGCUUCCUUUGCUAUAAGAAGUACACUAAUUAAACAUGUACAAGGUUAAAUCCUGGCAACAUGCAGCUGCUUCAGGGAUCAGUCCUUCUUGACUUCAGGUGGGAGGCAUUCCCCGCAGAGGCAAGAUAUACAUGAGGCAGUGUGGGGAGAAUGACGUCAGCCUCCCAAACUGGCACAAGGACCUGUGUGUGGCCUUAGGAUCAAAAGCGUCCUUCUUUCUGCUUUCCUAAAAACAUAUCUUGAAAUUGCCUUUUAUGCCUCAACCCAUCUUCCUUGAGAUGCCGUUUCUCCAAGGAAGUGCUCUGUGCCCUCUCAGCCUUGCAGGUCUGGCUGUGUCAAGUGCCACUGUGCACUACUGAGGGACUGGAGGAACUGAAAAGCAUUUUGGUCAUAGGAGGGAAUAGCCACGGGAGAAGUCAGGCCUCAGACACUCUUGUUUGAAUAUGGAUGUUUGAGCCUUAGCUGGUAGAAUAAAACACUCUUUCAGAGUUUGAAAUAGUUUUACUGCAAAUGGAGUGGAAAGCGAAGUUUCCAAGGUUUUAUAAACAACCUGAUAUAAACACAGCAGUGUUGUAGGUCAAAGCAGAUGUGGUGAACAGAACUUACAAAGACAUAUAUGUGUAUCAGUUUAUUUUUUCCACGUUCAUUUCAACCUCAGCAGAGCUAGCAACACUAACACUCCCCAGUGGCAGAGCCAACAACAGGGCUCUAGAGGCUCCAAACUUGGGGUCCUCUUGGGUGUCCUUGGAUAGAAUUCAAGGGGUCCAUAAACUAGAAUAGAAAAAAUUAUAUAUUUUCACUAGUCUCUAGCUGAAAGAUAAUGUUUACUUCAAUUAUGGAUGUAGAAAAAUCCCUAUAGUGUUAGUACUACUGUGAUUUUCUCAAUAGAAAUCAUGAUAUUUUCACAUCAAUUACAGUUGUAGAUAUAAAUCUGUAAUAUACCUGUAGCAUCUGUUUCACUGUAAAUAUAUAUUACAUAUAAUAUAUAGAGAUGAUUCCCCUUGAAAUUCGAAGUAUUUUAUUUUACUUAUUUGAAACCAUUCUAAGAGGAGACUCGUAGCCUUCUUCAGGUUGCUAAAGGGGUCCAUAUACAAAAAUGGUUAGGAGUCCCUGUACUAGGGAAACUUCCCAGCAGAAUGGAGCAAGUCGUGUCCUAAGACACUAUCUACACUACUGAAAUCCUCCAUUUUGGCUAAAUGACAAAGCACUGGCAAAAGAGUCAGAAGGACUGCGUUCUGAUCUCUAACUUAUUGCAUGUCCUUUGGCAAGAAAGACAUUCAAGCUUCUUGCUAUUCAUAAGAACACAGCUACUCAUGCUUACAAUGUGCCAGGUGCUCUGCUAACUACAUUUGGUUGCCACAAUGAUGGUUCAGUCAACAACAGACCACAUGUAUGACAGUGGUCCUGUAAGAUUAUAAUAUCAUAUUUUUACUGUAUUUUUCUAUGUUUAGAUAUGUUUGAAAUACACAAAUACUUACCAUUGUGUUACAAUUGCCUACAGUAGUCAGUAGAGGAACAUGCUGUACAGGUUUGUAGCCUAGGAGCAAUAGGUUACACCAUAUGGCCUAGGUAUGUAGUAAGCUAUACCAUCUAGGUUUGUGUAAGUACACUCUAUGAUGUUCCCUUAAUGAGGAACUCACAUAAUGAUGCGUUUCUCAGAAUGCAUCCCUCUUUGUAAAUAUUACUUCCUGUAGUCAUUACAGCAACCUUCUGUGGUUCUAUUGUAAUAUUUAUUUUGCAGAUAAGAAAAUUAAACCUUAGAACUGUUAAGUAAUCCAUCCACAGUCCUAUCCAGCUAGGAAGCAACAUAAAUGAAAACUUUCUCCAAAGCUAUUAGAUAUCAUAGUCUAGCAAGCUAGGAUAACAAUUCCUGCCCUACUUACCUCGUAGGAUUUUUGUGAUGCUCAAAUGAAUAAUAGAUACAUUAGAUUUAAACAGUACUUCCCACCCUUCAAAACAAGUUAUGAAUAUUUUAAAAUGAUUGUUAUUGAGAUUUUCAAGUAUAGCAAAAUGUUGAGUUUUGGAAAUAACCAGUGAAAAGACAAGAUGCUAUCAAAGAGACUUUUGAAUUACAUUUCAUAUUUAAGUGGCAAUAUAAUUAUUACAAGGAAUAGCUGAUGGACUGUAUAAGGAUCUAUGUUAAUGCUAGAUAAAAAUGGAAUCAAAUUUAUGCUUGUUAGUGUUGUGCUACACGGCUUGAUAAGUUUUUCUCAUAAGUAAAUAAAAUAUGUGCCCUUCAA
RNAcentral lists this long non-coding RNA (3654 nucleotides) under Homo sapiens (human). RNAcentral's name for it is "non-protein coding lnc-GADD45A-9:4". The record is from RNAcentral. Lineage: Eukaryota; Metazoa; Chordata; Mammalia; Primates; Hominidae.